CACGUGUUCAGUUGCCCGCUUUCCUCCGCUCCGACUGGCGGUCCCUCCCGUGGCUGCUGUUUGUUUGUUUGUAACUUUUUAAUAAAUAAACUAGGAAAUUUUAUAAGAUAUUGACAUUAUGUGACGGUGCCAAAUACUAUUUAAUUUCGACGUUAGAGAGAAAAAAA
This 167-nucleotide long non-coding RNA is filed under the name Penaeus monodon (black tiger shrimp). RNAcentral describes it as "uncharacterized LOC119569534, transcript variant X2". The record is from RNAcentral. Lineage: Eukaryota; Metazoa; Arthropoda; Malacostraca; Decapoda; Penaeidae.